RNAcentral lists this transfer RNA (76 nucleotides) under Diplodactylus vittatus. RNAcentral's name for it is "tRNA-Leu". It matches the Rfam family "tRNA". Rfam says of the family: Transfer RNA (tRNA) molecules are approximately 80 nucleotides in length. Their secondary structure includes four short double-helical elements and three loops (D, anti-codon, and T loops). Lineage: Eukaryota; Metazoa; Chordata; Lepidosauria; Squamata; Diplodactylidae. The record is from RNAcentral.
UUUAGGGUGGCAGAGCCAGGUAUAUUGCAAAAGGCCUAAACCCUUUCACCCAGAAGUUCAAAUCUUCUCCCUAACA